GAGUAACACUGUCAAAGGGAUCGAG
RNAcentral lists this unclassified non-coding RNA (25 nucleotides) under Mus musculus (house mouse). RNAcentral's name for it is "oocyte_clustered_small_RNA2930". Lineage: Eukaryota; Metazoa; Chordata; Mammalia; Rodentia; Muridae. The record is from RNAcentral.